AAAUAAUGUGCAUGUAUACGCUUUGUGGUAACAAGUGGACGAUAAAUACGUGUCCUUAUUUUUUGUUCUACUUAGCAAUAACUUGCCCGCUAGUUGUCAUGCGCAUUGCACCUAACAACGCUAACAAUAAUGGCUGCUACUGUGUUGGUUGUCUGAACAAAGUCGCAAGAUACAUUUCAGGAGGACAAAAUGAGCAGCAGAAACAAGAAAGUUAGGGUGUGGGGCCGAUUCAGGCCAACCGCAAAUUUUGCUCAUGAAAAUAUUGAGCUGUUACCUGACAACAAGGGUGUCAAUGUGCACAUGCGACGAGACCCCAAGAAAGGUGUAGUCAAUAACCAAAUUUUGGACUGGUCUUUCAAGUUAGAUGGAAUUUUUAGCAAUGCUGAUCAAGACACAGUAUACAAUACCGUGGCCUCUGAUAUUGUUAGAGGAUCACUGGAUGGGUAUAACGGUACACUGAUGUGCUAUGGGCAGACAGGAGCUGGCAAGACAUUUACCAUUACAGGAGCAACUGAAAGUUAUCGCCACAGAGGCCUCAUCCCUCGUGCUAUUUCCCAGCUUUUCAAGCAAAUUGAGGAAAGACUGGAGUACAGUAUUACUGUUAGAGUGUCGUACAUGGAGAUCUACAAUGAAGGCAUGUUUGAUUUACUGAGCUCUUUGCCUGAAGCAACUUGGAACAACAACAGCAAAGACCCCUAUGCUACUCCAGAUCCCAUGGUUGUCACAGAAAACCAAGAUGGAGUAUUUGUCAAAGGUCUCUCGUGCCAUUUGGCCCAGAACGAGGAAGAAGCUUUGAAUCUUCUCUUUGAGGGUGAGACAAACAGGUCCAUUGCUGCUCAUCAACUGAACAAACAGUCCUCAAGAUCCCAUUGUAUCUUUACAGUCUACCUUGAGUCAAGAUCAAGGACUCAGUCCAAUGCCAAAUACACGGUGUCCAAGGUGAACUUUGUGGAUCUUGCUGGAUCUGAGAGGCUCAGCAAAUCAAAGUCGGAAGGAAAAACGAAAGAGGAGGCCAUGUACAUCAACAAAUCUUUGUCCUUCCUGGAGCAAGUUGUGAUAGCCCUGGCUUCUCGCACCCGUGACCAUGUUCCGUUCAGGCAGUCCAAGCUCACCCACUACCUGAAGGACUCCAUCGGAGGGAACUGCAACACGUUACUGGUUGCCAAUAUGUGGGGGGAGCCAGCCCAACUGGAAGAAACGGUGUCCACGUUGCGUUUUGCCACCAGGAUGAUGUGUGUGGCCAGCGAACCAGCCGUCAACGAAGUCUAUGAUCCUGCGUUGUUGGUGAAGAAACUCCAGAGAGAAAUUCAGCAUCUGAAGUCAGAGCUGGCAAUGCACGACACUUUGACAAACCGUAGCAUGGUGUGGUAUGACCCUCUGUCGGAGCAACAGAAGUAUGAGAUCCGAACUCAAGUCAAACGUUACCUGGAUGGAAGUCUUGAUGAAAUCGAUAUCGUGAACAUACGGCAAAUUGUUGGAACUUUUGAGUCCUUUAGAGAGUUGUAUCUGGACAUGGAGAAGGACAUGGAAGCCCGGCUGAAGGAGAAGUACAUGCUGAUUGACAAGAACGACCCAGCAUCCAUCGCGGCCGCCCAGCAGGACUUAACCUUGAUGCUAGAUGCCCAUGAGAACCCAGCGAGUGAGGCUGGUGUACCCAUUGCUGAUGAUGGUUCCCUCGUCGGUGAUCUGGAGGGUGGAAAUUUUGGACUGGGUACGGCGCCGAAAACAUCCAAGGCCGACUCCUCCGCUGUUGUCCAGCUGAAGAAGAAAGAGAGGGAGAGAGACAGAAAGCGUGGAUCACGGGGAGCCACGAGCCCUGUAGCUGGAAAAACAGCUUCCAGCCCAUCCCACAGUGCAAAGGGUGAGCGCAAGAUUGAGUCUCCGACAACACCUGGAGGCGAGAGGGCAGACAAACCGGAGAAAGAUCUGGAAGGUUCUGCUUCCCCUGUCAGCUCUGCCGGGAACCUGUCUCGUUCGGAGAAAGUCCAGAGACCCAGUAGAUUGGCAGAGGAUGCUGAAAGUGGAGUAGGUGAGGAGGGUGAGGAGCCUGCCGAGGAAGAGGAGGAACAUGCAGAUGGACCUCCGACUGACACUCCGCCAAGUAGAACUUCAGCCUUUGAAGAUUUUAAAGCUGAGAAGGGCAGUGAGAUCAACAGAGUACUCAUUGGAAACAAAGAGGAACUGGCUAAGAGGAAGAAAGCGUACUCUGAUCUGGCUAAGGACGUGAACAACAUCAAAGUUUCCAUUGACCAAACUAGGCAAAAGCUGGAACAGCUUAGACAAAUUAGGGAAGCUGAGGGCCCGAUCCUGAACGAGGAUGGUGACAUCAUCAUCAGUGAGGAGGAGUUCAUGGAAAUCCAGCGGCUGAAAGACCUCAAGAUCAGCUACCGCAGCAAGUAUGAUCAGCUGCAUAACGGCAAGUCGGAGGUUGUCUACUGUCAGAACAUGGUGGACCAAUGUCGGCUCAAGCUCAUACAAGAGUUUGACAACUGGUACAGCGAAAGUUUUCUCUCGGCAACUGAUGAGAGCCAGACAAGUCUCGGGGUCGGCAUCGGCGGUAGACCGGGAGUCAUUGUGCCCAUCACAAGCCUGGCGACGGAGGAUGAGCAGGAGAAGUUUGAGCGUCUACAGCUGGAACUGAUGAUGAACAACCCUGACUCAGCGGCUUUCUACAAUGCUCAGAUGAGGACCUCGAGAAGGAAAAUCUAUGGAUCUGCAAUGAGCCAAGCACAGCCAGCCUACAGACACCAGCCUGGAACCCCCACCAAGAAUGUCCUGAACAGACCACCAAACAUGCUGCAAGUCCAGUACUGAAUGACUGAAUGGCUUCUCUCAGUCAUGUACUGGUGGAUCCCCAGCCUUUGUUUACAAGAGUUUAAUGAAAUAAAUCAUAGUUAUGUAAUGGGAUCUGAAAAGUCAAAUUUAGAUGCUUCAUCUGAAUCACUCAGUCUCCAAAUGUUAAUGGAGCUCAAGAGUUGGAUUCUACCAAGUUCUGUUGAAGAAGAAAGAAGAAGAAAGUACA
Molecule: unclassified non-coding RNA, 3022 nt
Filed under: Aplysia californica (California sea hare)
Lineage: Eukaryota; Metazoa; Mollusca; Gastropoda; Aplysiida; Aplysiidae
Description: kinesin-like protein KIF9, transcript variant X3
Source: RNAcentral